AACGAACGCUGGCGGCGUGGAUAAGACAUGCAAGUCGAACGGGGCUUGGUAGCAAUACUGAGUUCAGUGGCGGACGGGUGCGUAACACGUGAACAAUCUGCCCGGAAGAGGGGGAUAGCCCAGGGAAACUUGGAUUAAUACCCCGUGUGGUACAGGUGGGCAUCCAUCUGACACCAAAGGUGCUGCAAGGUGCCGCUUCCGGAUGAGUUCGCGCCCUAUCAGCUUGUUGGCGGGGUAACGGCCCACCAAGGCGAUGACGGGUAGCUGGUCUGAGAGGAUGACCAGCCACACUGGAACUGAGACACGGUCCAGACACCUACGGGUGCAGCAGUCGAGAAUCAUUCACAAUGGGCGAAAGCCUGAUGGUGUGACGCCGCGUGGAGGAUGAAGGUCUUCGGAUUGUAAACUCCUGUCAAGUGAGAGU
RNAcentral lists this ribosomal RNA (424 nucleotides) under uncultured bacterium. RNAcentral describes it as "bacterial SSU rRNA". It matches the Rfam family "Bacterial small subunit ribosomal RNA", at positions 29 to 447 of the family's 1533-position model. The record is from RNAcentral.